CUACGGGCCGCUCCAGUUAGGAAUAAUCUACAAUGCGCGAGAGCGUGAUAGUUUGAGCCAGAGUGUUUUCCAACAUGGAAGACUUUUGCCAAAUGUAAAUAGUUUGGCGAAUAAGGACUGGGCAAGACUAGUGCCAGCCGCCGCGGUAAUCCUAGCGGUCCAAGUCGCAGCCAUCUUUAUUGGGUCUAAAAUAUCCGUAGCUUGCUUAAUAAGUUCCUUGUGAAAUCCGGCUUCUCAAGAGUCGGGCGUGCAAGGAGUACUGUUGAGCUAGAGACUGGUAGACGUAGGAAGUACGUUCAAAGUAGCGGUAAAAUGUUUUAAUCUUGAACGGACUCACAAGAGCGAAGGCAUCCUACGAGAACAGUUCUGACAGUGAGGGAUGAAGGCUAGGGGCGCAAAGUGGAUUAGAUACCCCCGUAGUC
Molecule: ribosomal RNA, 422 nt
Filed under: uncultured archaeon
Lineage: Archaea
Description: partial 16S ribosomal RNA
Rfam family: Archaeal small subunit ribosomal RNA
Source: RNAcentral